UGUAGUCAUAUGCUUGUCUCAAAGAUUAAGCCAUGCAUGUCUAAGUACAUACUUUUGCACGGUGAAACCGCGAAUGGCUCAUUAAAUCAGUUAUGGUUCCUUAGAUCGUUUAUACUACAUGGAUAACUGUGGUAAUUCUAGAGCUAAUACAUGCAAAAAGCUCCGACCGUAUGGGAGGAGCGCUUUUAUUAGACCAAAACCAAUGGGGUCGCAAGACUCCUUUGUAUGGUGACUCUGGAUAACUUUGUGCUGAUCGCAUGGCCUAGAGCCGGCGACGUAUCUUUCAAAUGUCUGACCUAUCAACUUUCGAUGGUAAGCGAUUUGCCUACCAUGGUUGCAACGGGUAACGGGGAAUG
RNAcentral lists this ribosomal RNA (356 nucleotides) under uncultured fungus. RNAcentral's name for it is "SSU rRNA". It matches the Rfam family "Eukaryotic small subunit ribosomal RNA", at positions 21 to 371 of the family's 1831-position model. The record is from RNAcentral. Lineage: Eukaryota; Fungi.